This 520-nucleotide ribosomal RNA is filed under the name uncultured fungus. RNAcentral describes it as "SSU rRNA". It matches the Rfam family "Eukaryotic small subunit ribosomal RNA", at positions 30 to 554 of the family's 1831-position model. Lineage: Eukaryota; Fungi. The record is from RNAcentral.
GCUUGUCUCAAAGAUUAAGCCAUGCAUGUCUAAGUAUAAGCAAUUAUACCGCGAAACUGCGAAUGGCUCAUUAUAUAAGUUAUCGUUUAUUUGAUAAUACUUUACUACUUGGAUAACCGUGGUAAUUCUAGAGCUAAUACAUGCUAAAAAUCCCGACUUCGGAAGGGUUGUAUUUAUUAGAUUAAAAACCAAUGCCCCUCGGGGCUCUCUGGUGAAUCAUGAUAACUAGUCGAAUCGACAGGCCUUGUGCCGGCGAUGGCUCAUUCAAAUUUCUUCCCUAUCAGCUUUCGAUGUUUGGGUAUUGUCCAAACAUGGUGGCAACGGGUAACGGAGGGUUAGGGCUCGACCCCGGAGAAGGAGCCUGAGAAACGGCUACUACAUCCAAGGAAGGCAGCAGGCGCGCAAAUUACCCAAUCCCGACACGGGGAGGUAGUGACAAUAAAUACUGAUACAGGGCUCUUUUGGGUCUUGUAAUCGGAAUGAGUACAAUUUAAAUCCCUUAACGAGGAACAAUUGGAGG